Molecule: unclassified non-coding RNA, 258 nt
Filed under: plant metagenome
Description: partial contains 5.8S ribosomal RNA, internal transcribed spacer 2, and large subunit ribosomal RNA
Source: RNAcentral
CGUCGGAGGCACCGUGAAGACGUUGUCGGCCACCUCUAUACGCAUCGUCCCGCGGACCGCGUAGAGGAGCUGGGCCUUCGGAUGCGCGUGCAUCCCGGUGACCAGCCCGUCCUCGAAGUCCGCGACAUAGCCCACCACGGCUCGCGGCGAGUUCUCGAACGGAGCAAGCCGAAGUUGUCGUUUUGCCGACAGGAAGUGACCGGAUGUCUUCAUAGCGACAUUCUAUGAUGCAGGACCGGAGUCGGAAAGCGGUUUCGG